CCAAUAGCGUAUAUUAAAGUUGCUGCAGUUAAAAAGCUCGUAGUUGAAUUUCGGGACCAAUAUGUCGGUCGUGCCUCGGUACGUACUGGCAUCGUUGGUUUCUCCCUUCUGACGAACUAUGAUGUCAUUAAUUUGGUGUCAUGGGGAAUCAGGACUGUUACUUUGAAAAAAUUAGAGUGUUUAAAGCAGGCUCACGCUUGAAUACAUUAGCAUGGAAUAAUGAAAUAGGACGUUUGAUUCUAUUUUGUUGGUUUCUAGGAUUGACGUAAUGAUUAAUAGGGAUAGUUGGGGGCAUUAGUAUUCAAUUGUCAGAGGUGAAAUUCUUGGAUUUAUUGAAGACUAACUACUGCGAAAGCAUUUGCCAAGGAUGUUUUCAUUAAUCAAGAACGAAAGUUAGGGGAUCGAAGACGAUCAGAUACCGUCGUAGUCUUAACCAUAAACUAUGCCGACUAGGGAUCGGAUGAUGUUAAUUUUUUAAUGACUCAUUCGGCGCCUUACG
RNAcentral lists this ribosomal RNA (499 nucleotides) under uncultured Glomeromycotina. RNAcentral's name for it is "partial small subunit ribosomal RNA". It matches the Rfam family "Eukaryotic small subunit ribosomal RNA", at positions 591 to 1092 of the family's 1831-position model. The record is from RNAcentral. Lineage: Eukaryota; Fungi; Glomeromycota.